This 1435-nucleotide ribosomal RNA is filed under the name Bacillus cereus. RNAcentral's name for it is "bacterial SSU rRNA". It matches the Rfam family "Bacterial small subunit ribosomal RNA". Lineage: Bacteria; Bacillati; Bacillota; Bacilli; Caryophanales; Bacillaceae. The record is from RNAcentral.
CGGGGGGCUAUCUGCAGUCGAGCGAAUGGAUUAAGAGCUUGCUCUUAUGAAGUUAGCGGCGGACGGGUGAGUAACACGUGGGUAACCUGCCCAUAAGACUGGGAUAACUCCGGGAAACCGGGGCUAAUACCGGAUAACAUUUUGAACCGCAUGGUUCGAAAUUGAAAGGCGGCUUCGGCUGUCACUUAUGGAUGGACCCGCGUCGCAUUAGCUAGUUGGUGAGGUAACGGCUCACCAAGGCAACGAUGCGUAGCCGACCUGAGAGGGUGAUCGGCCACACUGGGACUGAGACACGGCCCAGACUCCUACGGGAGGCAGCAGUAGGGAAUCUUCCGCAAUGGACGAAAGUCUGACGGAGCAACGCCGCGUGAGUGAUGAAGGCUUUCGGGUCGUAAAACUCUGUUGUUAGGGAAGAACAAGUGCUAGUUGAAUAAGCUGGCACCUUGACGGUACCUAACCAGAAAGCCACGGCUAACUACGUGCCAGCAGCCGCGGUAAUACGUAGGUGGCAAGCGUUAUCCGGAAUUAUUGGGCGUAAAGCGCGCGCAGGUGGUUUCUUAAGUCUGAUGUGAAAGCCCACGGCUCAACCGUGGAGGGUCAUUGGAAACUGGGAGACUUGAGUGCAGGAAGAGGAAACGUGGAAUUCCAUGUGUAGCGGUGAAAUGCGUAGAGAUAUAGGAGGGAACACCAAUGGCGGAAUGCCACUUUCUGGUUCGUCACUGACACUGGAGGGCCGAAGGCGUGGGGAGCAACCAGAUUAGGAUACCCUGGUAGUCCACGCCGUAAACGAUAAGUGUUAAUUGUAGGAGGGUUUCCGCCCUUUAGUGUUGAAGUUAACGCAUUAACCAUUCCCCUUGGGGAUUACGGCGGCAAGGUUGAAAUUCAAAGGAAUUGAGGGGGGCCGCCACAGGCGGUGGAGCAUGUGGUUUAUUUGGAAGCAAGGGGAAGAACUUUACCAGUUCUGGACUUCUUUUGACAACCUUAGAGAUAGGGUUUUUCUUUGGGAACCAGAGUAACAGGUGGUCCAUGGUGUUCUUCAGUUGGGUUCGGGAGAUGUUGGGUUAAUUCCCGCAAGGAGCGCAACCCUUGUUUUUAGUUGCCACCAUUAAGUUGGCCAUUUUAAGGUGACUCCCGGUGACAAACCGGAGGAAGGUGGGGAGGAGGUCAAUUCUUCAUGCCCCUUAUGCCUUGGGUUCCCCACGUGUUCCAAUGGACGGUCCAAAGAGUUGAAAGACGGGGAGGGGGAGCAAUUCUCAUAAACCCGUUUCCAUUUGGGAUGGUGGGUGCAAAUUGGCUUCCAGAAAGCGGGAUUCGUUGGAAUUCGGGGAUCGCAAUGCCGCGGUGAAUACGUUCCCGGCCCUUGUACACACCGCCCGUCACACCACGGGAGUUUGUACCACCGGAAGCCGGUGGGUUAACUUUGAGCCAGCCGCCA